RNAcentral lists this ribosomal RNA (253 nucleotides) under uncultured bacterium. RNAcentral's name for it is "partial 16S ribosomal RNA". It matches the Rfam family "Bacterial small subunit ribosomal RNA", at positions 524 to 776 of the family's 1533-position model. The record is from RNAcentral.
UACGGAGGGGGCAAGCGUUACUCGGAAUUAUUGGGCGUAAAGGGCGCGUAGGCGGUCGUGUGCGUCGGAGGUGAAAUCCCCGGGCUUAACCCGGGAGCUGCCUCCGAUACGGCAUGGCUUGAGUCCGGGAGAGGGGAGCAGAAUUCCCAGUGUAGCGGUGAAAUGCGUAGAUAUUGGGAGGAAUACCGGUGGCGAAGGCGGCUCCCUGGACCGGUACUGACGCUGAUGCGCGAAAGCGUGGGUAGCAAACAGG